GUCUACACACUAGGAUGGGGGAGGACUUUGUGUGAACUAACCACUUUAUUUGAUAAGACUAACCGCUCACUUGAGCAGUGAUUGCAGAUGAUAAACAGGCGAGAAAGAGAGACAACUCCUCCUCGCCCAAGCUUCACAACUUUCCCAGAAAUCGAAUUUCACGGCAAUGCGUGGGGGGGGAACCUGAACACGUGACCUGUUACAGCUCCGCCAUCUUCUGCCCUCACGAACCUCCGCUGCACUUGACUUUUCUCAUCACCUGAGCUUCAGCUGCACUGGAGUCUUCUGCUGCCAUGAACAGCAACUGCACUUGGCCUCUGACUCAUCUACUUCAGCUGAGCUUUUGUUUUGUUUAUGAGACAGGGUGAACCACCUAUAGAUUACAGUCCAAGCUUUCACUAAGCUAUGGCGUCUUUCUGUUCCACGAUACUGACAGGGUAUGACAUCUGAUUGUUAUACUGACAUCUGAUUGUUAUACUGACAUCUGAUUGUUAUACUGACAGGACGACUGACUGUUCUACUGACAUCUGAUUGUUCUACUGACAGGACGACUGACUGUUCUACUGACAGGACGACUGAUUGUUCUACUGACAUCUGAUUGUUCUACUGACAGGACGACUGAUUGUUCUACUGACAUCUGAUUGUUCUACUGACAGGACGACUGAUUGUUCUACUGACAUCUGAUUGUUAUACUGACAUCUGAUUGUUAUACUGACAGGACGACUGACUGUUCUACUGACAGGACGACUGAUUGUUCUACUGACAUCUGAUUGUUCUACUGACAGGACGACUGAUUGUUCUACUGACAUCUGAUUGUUCUACUGACAGGACGACUGAUUGUUCUACUGACAUCUGAUUGUUAUACUGACAUCUGAUUGUUAUACUGACAGGACGACUGACUGUUCUACUGACAUCUGAUUGUUCUACUGACAGGACGACUGAUUGUUCUACUGACAGGACGACUGACUGUUCUACUGACAUCUUAUUGUUCUACUGACAGGACGACUGACUGUUCUACUGACAUCUGAUUGUUCUACUGACAGGACGACUGACUGUUCUACUGACAUCUGACUGUUCUACUGACAGGAAUCUGACACUUAAUUGUUACGGAUUUUAAUGUAUGUUUGGAAAUUCCUUUAUUGUAGUUAAUGUCAUCUUAUCUGUUCAGACAGAAAUGUAUUUACAGGAAAUCUGUUAUCAUUACGACUUAAUGAUCUCAUGUAUAAUCUCACUUAAGACAUUGAUCUUACUUCAGUACCAAGGAAUUAAGUGGCUGAAUGAACUGGGAGAGAACGGACCUCCAUGAUCUGAAACUUCUUCACGCGCAGUAAAACACACAAGCCUUUGAGUCUGCUGAUGGGGCGUGCAGAAAACGUGUAUUUAUUAUUAUGUAAUAUUAUGUAUUCUUAUGGAUGAUGAUGAUGAUGAUGAUGAUGAUGAUGAUGAUGAUGAUGAUGAUGAUGAUGAUGAUGAUGAUGAUGAUGAUUUCAUACAGUGUACUCCGUGCCGACAGCAUCGACUGUGUUGAUGGUCUUCACCGUCUGCACGUGUGUGGCGACAUGACAGGUUAGUGCUGGUGAGUCUGUCCUCUCGCCUUAUGCUCACGCGCAUGUACGGAGGGCCGGGAGUCCCGCUGAUGCUGAAGAAAGAGCUGUUUGCUUUGAGCUCCUUACUGGGUGUCAGGGGCUAUCAGAAUGUGAAAACACAAAAUCCCAGAUAAAUACAGAGUGCCAGCCCGUGACCCCAUCCAGUCGGUCGCCUGGUGGAGCCACAUGUCAUCGCCUGGCAGUUUACUUGCAGUCGCCAGUCUCCGCAACAUCGAUCAUAAAACCUUUGCGCGUGCUAGUGCCUGCCAUGCACAUUGCCUAUUUGUAGCAAAAAACAAGUUGUUUUGCUUAUUUUCGCUUUAUUCACGAAAUAAAAUGAAACGA
This is a long non-coding RNA of Pomacea canaliculata, 1931 nucleotides long. RefSeq lists it as uncharacterized. Lineage: Eukaryota; Metazoa; Mollusca; Gastropoda; Architaenioglossa; Ampullariidae. The transcript is spliced from 3 exons. The record is from RefSeq and is a predicted model, not a curated record.